Molecule: ribosomal RNA, 293 nt
Filed under: Limosilactobacillus fermentum
Lineage: Bacteria; Bacillati; Bacillota; Bacilli; Lactobacillales; Lactobacillaceae
Description: partial 16S ribosomal RNA
Rfam family: Bacterial small subunit ribosomal RNA
Source: RNAcentral
CGAUGCUAAUACCGCAUAACAACGUUGUUCGCAUGAACAACGCUUAAAAGAUGGCUUCUCGCUAUCACUUCUGGAUGGACCUGCGGUGCAUUAGCUUGUUGGUGGGGUAACGGCCUACCAAGGCGAUGAUGCAUAACCGAGUUGAGAGACUGAUCGGCCACAAUGGGACUGACACACGGCCCAUACUCCUACGGGAGGCAGCAGUAGGGAAUCUUCCACAAUGGGCGCAAGCCUGAUGGAGCAACACCGCGUGAGUGAAGAAAGGUUUCGGCUCGUAAAGCUCUGUUGUUAAA